GACGAACGCUGGCGGCGUGCUUAACACAUGCAAGUCGAGCGGUAAGGCCCUUUCGGGGGUACACGAGCGGCGAACGGGUGAGUAACACGUGGGUGACCUGCCUCUAGCUCUGGGAUAAGCCCGGGAAACUGGGUCUAAUACUGGAUAUGACUCCAUGACGCAUGUUGUGGGGUGGAAAGCCUUGUGCGGCUAGAGAUGGGCCCGCGGCCUAUCAGCUUGUUGGNGGGGUGAUGGCCUACCAAGGCGACGACGGGUAGCCGGCCUGAGAGGGCGGACCGGCCACACUGGGACUGAGACACGGCCCAGACUCCUACGGGAGGCAGCAGUGGGGAAUCUUGCGCAAUGGGCGAAAGCCUGACGCAGCGACGCCGCGUGAGGGAUGACGG
Molecule: ribosomal RNA, 386 nt
Filed under: uncultured bacterium
Lineage: Bacteria
Description: bacterial SSU rRNA
Rfam family: Bacterial small subunit ribosomal RNA
Source: RNAcentral